RNAcentral lists this ribosomal RNA (1017 nucleotides) under Anelasma squalicola. RNAcentral describes it as "partial large subunit ribosomal RNA". It matches the Rfam family "Eukaryotic large subunit ribosomal RNA", at positions 665 to 1605 of the family's 3401-position model. The record is from RNAcentral. Lineage: Eukaryota; Metazoa; Arthropoda; Thecostraca; Pollicipedomorpha; Pollicipedidae.
ACCAAGGAGUCUAACAUGUGAGCGAGCGAUUGAGAUUGUCUAAUCUCAAGCGCGCAAUGAAAGUGAAGCGUCGUCUGACGACGCGAGCGGAGAUCCGGCGUCACCCGUGGCGCCGGCGCACCCGCGGGCCGCGCCACCGGCUGGCUUGCUCCUCUCGGAGCACUGCCGCGGCGCGGACCCAGAGCCCACAUGUUGGGACCCGAAAGAUGGUGAACUAUGCCUGGCCAGGAUGAAGUCAGAGGAAACUCUGAUGGAGGUCCGCCGCGAUUCUGACGUGCAAAUCGAUCGUCUGAGCUGGGUAUAGGGGCGAAAGACCAAUCGAACCAUCUAGUAGCUGGUUCCGCCCGAAGUUUCCCUCAGGAUAGCUGGCGCUCGUGUGAUACGGAGUUUCAUCCGGUAAAGCGAAUGAUCAGAGGAACUGGGCUCUUCGCGAGCUCAACCUAUUCUCAAACUUUCAAUGGGUGAGACGUCUCGCUGGCUUCGCUGCAGCGACGACUCUGAAUCCGAGUGCCCAGUGGGCCACUUUUGGUAAGCAGAACUGGCGAUGCGGGAUGAACCGCAUGUCGAGCUAAGGUGCCUAAGCGGACGCAAAUCAGAUACCAUGAAAGGUGUUGAUUGCUCAUGACAGCAGGACGGUGGCCAUGGAAGUCGGCACCCGCUAAGGAGUGUGUAACAACUCACCUGCCGAAGCAAUCGGCCCUGAAAAUGGAUGGCGCUAAAGCGUCCCACCGAUGCUCGACCGUCGUCGGCACGCGACGCGCACCCGUGCGCGUCUCAAGCCACGACGAGUAGGGCGGCGCGGCGGUGAGCGUCGAAGGUGCGGCCGUGAGGCCGGCUGGAGCCGCCGUCGGUGCAGAUCUUGGUGGUAGUAGCAAAUACACAAGCAAGAUCCUUGUGGACCGAUGUGGAGAAGGGUUCCGCGCGAACAGCAUUUGGACGUGGGUGAGUCGGCCCUAAGCCAACGGGUAAUUCCCGCAUCCCGUGCCGAUCUCGCGUGUGUGACUAACAAAUGGCACA